AAGACAAAUCCAGCCUGAGCCGGGGGCCUCUGCUUCGCUGGUCAGGAGCAACUCGAUUUCUGGUCUGCGCCUCCGAGCGCGGAGCUCUGGGUCACCAGCCUGAACCGCUUAAUGCACAUCACGCCUGGGUCUACUUGGAAAUGGCUGAAGGCGCUUAAAUGGAACUCCCAACCUUUGUCCUCAGCCCCGAAACCACAGCUGUACAAUAUUCCAUCCUGUGGAUAUUCCAUAAUUUACUUCUCCACCGCCCCAUUCCUUGACAUUCAACUCUUUCAGGUACCACACUGGACUGGAAUGGUUUGUUUGUAUGCUGCCUUCUCUAAGAGACUGGAAGCUUCUGGAAGCCAGGAGUGAGUGGGUUUCCUUAUCACCGUACCUCCAGCAUUGAAUACAGAUCUGACUCUGAGCCUGAGAGUGGGUCGAGUCAAACAUUUUCUCCAAAAGACACACUCAUACAUUGCUGGUGGAGUUGCAAAUUGGUGCAGCCACUCUGGAAAGCAGU
Molecule: long non-coding RNA, 502 nt
Organism: Sciurus carolinensis (gray squirrel)
Lineage: Eukaryota; Metazoa; Chordata; Mammalia; Rodentia; Sciuridae
Exons: 3
Source: RefSeq, a predicted model, not a curated record